GACGAACGCUGGCGGCGUGCUUAACACAUGCAAGUCGAACGGAAAGGCCCUGAUUUUGUGGGGUUCUCGAGUGGCGAACGGGUGAGUAUCACGUGAGUAUCAUGCCCUUGUCUUUGGGAUAACAUCAGGAAACUGGGGCUAAUACCGGAGAGAAGCUCCUGCAGCAUGGGGGGCGUUGGAAAGUUUCGGCGGUUGGGGAUGGACUCGCGGCUUACGAGCUUGUUGGUGGGGUAGUGACUUACCAAGGGUUUGACGGGUAGGCGGCCUGGGAGGUGGGACGGCGACAUGGGGCCUGCGAGAGGGCGCAGACUCGUAUGGGAGGCAGCAGUCGGGAACAUUGCACAGCGGGCGGAAGCCUGAUGCAGCGGCGCUGCGUUCGGGAAGACGUCUUUCGGGUUGUAAACCGCUUUCGCCUGUGACGAAGCGUGAGUGACGGUAACGGGUAAAGAAGCACCGGCUAACUACGUG
Molecule: ribosomal RNA, 468 nt
Filed under: uncultured bacterium
Lineage: Bacteria
Description: partial 16S ribosomal RNA
Rfam family: Bacterial small subunit ribosomal RNA
Source: RNAcentral